Rhinopithecus roxellana (golden snub-nosed monkey) is the source of this 4134-nucleotide long non-coding RNA. RefSeq lists it as uncharacterized. The transcript has 3 exons. The record is from RefSeq and is a predicted model, not a curated record. Lineage: Eukaryota; Metazoa; Chordata; Mammalia; Primates; Cercopithecidae.
CGGAGCUUGCAGUGAGCUGAGAUCCGGCCACUGCACUCCAGCCUGGGCGACAGAGUGAGACUCCGUCUCAAAAAAAAAAAAAAAGAAAAAGAAAAAGAAAAUAACAGUAUCUUACAUGGUGAAAGUGAAGCCAGCCUGCUCCCACCAGAGCCCAGCAAUGGCCAGUAAGAGAACAGUGAUGGGUUUAAGGAAGAGGACACAGGAAGCAGAAGAGAAGAGGGAAAAUUCAGUUUCAUCUGCCAAGAUUGACCUAUACAUUCCAGAAUUGCUUCUUGGCUCCUGGAACAUCGUGUGCAGGAAGAGAACAGAGACAGCAAAGCCAUGGAGUCAGCCCAGCUGAGGGAAGAUAGGUCUCCAGCGACUGGGUCACCUGGCCCUGGGAAGCGCGACCUGGGGAAGACAGGUCUCCAGUGACUGGGACAUCUGGGAAGAGAGGUCUCCAGCGACCGGGGCAUCUGGCCCUGGGAAGCACGACCCGGGGAAGACAGGUCUCCAGUGACUGGGACAUCUGGGAAGAGAGGUCUCCAGCGACCGGAGCAUCUGGCCCUGGGAAGCACGACCCGGACUCUGCUUCUCAACAUAGCACAGCCUUCCUCACUUGGACAUACAGGGUGCACCUGUCAGGAGGAGGUGCCAACCAGGUCUCCUGAGUGACCUGGCCUGGUGAUCUCCUGUGGAGUCAAAGUCCUUCUAUCCCCCCACCCCACCCCACUUUCCAAGUAAGGAAAUCCAAGGUCAUAGAUCCUAUACUUCACGCCUCCUAGUUUCUGAGCCACAAGCUUCUGGCUGUGUUGGGGCUGGGGUGCAUGCUUCACUAGCAGGAGCUAGUUCUACCUUGAAAGACGAGCUGGCUUCUGAGCCCCAGGACUGAAAGCAGGGAGGGUGCAGUUCCCAGAGGCCUCCAAGUGCCCGCCCAGCCCAUGGGUGUGCAGCUGGUGGCUCCCUGAGAACAUUAGCCACCCUGCAAAUGCCCAGGAAGGCAGAGGCUAAAAAUACACGUAGUGCCCAGGUCCAGGAAUGCAGGCCCCGCCGUUCAUUCCUUGGUGUCCUGCCCAAAGUGGAGGGCACUUGGGAGAGGUCUGAGAAGGCAAGCAGUUGUGCCAGGCCUAAGUCGACCUGGACAUUCACUGGCAUGGCUUGUUUUCCAGGCUGGGGCACGAGUAUCCAAUUCCUCCACUAUAAGCAGCUCUUCACUGUGCACAGGUCUGAACAGCCCACCCACCUGGUUAUCACCAGGCUUUAGACCAGCGAGCCCAAGGAUCUAGAGGAACAAGCUGGGGCUUCUGGGAAACCCUGGGCCAGCUGGACUACCUGCCUCAGUUUCUCUGUUUGCCUGCCCAUCUCACUGGCGUACUUGAGGACCCCAGAAGAUCAUGCCUGUGAGGGUAACCAGGGGCUACUCUGGAGGAACAUGUAGGAACUAGGAGCUUGCCGCGGUCCCCAGUGACAGGUGGGAAGACACGGAGGCAGGACCCUGCUCUACGUUGCAUCACCCGUCUAGCUGGGGUGGCACAGGCCAGCAUCCUGCAGCAGGUAAGGGUGCCCCCCCACAGAAAACCAUCAUGUGACUCUAAUGUCUUCCUGAGCAGGAAUGACUGGCACAGCCAUUGGUCUCCCAGGUGUCAUUGCUCAGCAGGAGCCACACGAAACAGCUGAGUUAAUUCUGAGGGGGUUAACGAUGGGUGGUCCACAGAUAAAAUAAGUCAGUGGUCUGAAGUAUGGUCGAGUGCUGGUGAGACACGACUCAACCGUCCCCCUCCCCUCAUUCAGAAUCUGGCACAGGAGAGGGGACUAGGGAAGCCCUGCAGGCCUCAGGCCUUCCUCAGGCCCCCUCCCCUGAGGAAGACCCUCUAACCGCACAGGUGCAACAGUGGCAGCCGGGAGGGAGCUGAGGAGGGCACAGGUGCACCUGGUGGGGAGGCUCAGCGCCAGCUUUGCUAGGAGGCCUUCCAGGCAGGGAAUGGGACAGUGAGGCCCAGGGAGGGUGUUCGGGGCACAGGGAACCACAGGGGUGGUUGGACAGUAAGGUGAAGAGGGAGGGCUGAGUCGAUCUUGCACAAUCGGAAAUUCUCAUGGAGGUCUGACCUGCUCUCUUUGAAUCCAGUUAAAAUCCAUUUCCUCCUGCACGGGGCUCUGCAGGGCUGUUUUCCCAGGAGGCUGGACGAGCACCAGUGGGUUGAAGUUCAGGCAUCCUCAGACCCUCUUCCCUCUUCCAAUCCGUCUCCCCCUCCUGCCUCCUGUCCCCUUUCCACCUCCCUUUCUCCCCUUCCCACCCCAACAGCCGAGUUUCCCGGCGUGAUGAACCGUGUGUGAUGGGAAGUUCCUUGGAAAAUAAAAGAGGAGCGUGUUAAACUCCAGCACCUAGCGGGCACCCUCGGCCCAACUUCCAGGUGCAGCUGGAGGGACAGCCGGGCGGAGCUGAUGAGAACCUGGGCAGACCCAGACACCAGCUUUCGAAAUGUCAGAUUCUGAUAGGGCCAGCCCUGGCACUGCCACCUCAGAAUGCAGGACAAAAUGCUGAGAGAUCCUGGUGGAACAGAAGACGGCCGUCAGCGGGAGGCCAGUAGCUUUUCUCUCCCGGUGACUGUGAGGGGCCCCUGGCCUUUAGGGGCUCAGGAAUGGCUGGAGUGGGGGCAGCAUUCGCCAGCCCUGUGUUCUACUUGGAUAGAAAGUAAAUGAUGAAAGGCCUCUUCUAAGUCAGUCCACCACUGUCUUACUAAGUGUCCACCAGUCCAGUCCCACUGCUCUGUGCCAGACCUGGUACCCAAGCCGGCCACGCAUUUCCUCCCCGAACCCCUCCACAGCCCUCCGGAUAUGGUGCUGCACCUUCCAAGAGGAGGAAACCAGGCACUUAGCCUGGGCUAGGUGACAGCCAGCAUCAUACGGCCAGCACAUAACAGGGCUGGGAUUCUUGGCUGAGUCUGCCGGCUGCUAACCCUGGGUGCUCAAUGUCUGGGCCUCCUCCCUGGUGGUCCUCUGUGCUCAGCCUUCAGGUUGGGGGUGGCGGGGGUAGUGAACGGCAGGCGGGGACAAAGCCCAGACUUGAUUUCUGCACUUGGAGCUCAUGCUCUGCAGAUGUCCAGAUGGAGACCAACCUGAGGCUGGCGCUGGGCAUGAGGGAAGGAAGCAGCGUCUUCUUCAAGGGUCUCUCCUCUUAACAUUGUAUCCUCUCUUGACUCCAUCCAAAGGAUGCCGGGUGCGUCCUAGAGAGUUGCCAUGGUUACUCGAGGCCUACGGGCGCGUCCCAGCCAGGCUGGGCACUUGUCUUUACGCCUGCCUGAUGCCGCAUGAGCGCCUGCUGGGCAGAGCCACAGCCCGAGAAUGAGGUCAUGUAAAUAAAGGAGCAGUGCAGAUGUCGGGAGAGGUGUGCCAGGCUUUCCAAAGCCUGUCCUCACCUGGCAGCGCCGCCGGGGACCCUCGUCCAUGCACCAAGACAUCCUCGCUGUCAGAUGGAAAGCAUUCUGCCAGGGCACGUGGUUAUUUUUACUCGCGUUCAGUUCCGACUUGUUAACACCGUAAUCCUUUCCUUAUGUCGCUGCCUUCACCACCCUGAGCGCACAGGCUGGAUUGAGGCUCUGUGUGGCAAGAAAUUAUGUGCAUCGGAAGCCGGCAGGCACCCACACAGGCCCACCGAGGCAGACCCUGGCGGUGAAGCCCAUAACUGGGUAUGUGGCAGUGUGUGCAGCAGAAGGGAUAAAGCAUGGGCCAGGUGAGAAGAAGGCGUGCCAGUGCAGGGUUGCCCCAGGCUUUUCCAACAGGUCCCAGGAGCUGGAUGGGGAGGAUGGCGCCUGAGACAUUUCUGGUGGCUCAUCUCGUUGAUACGAGCAGUCGCGGAUGGACACGAAUAUGUGUUUGUCUUUCCCAAGCACCAGAACAUGGAAACCCCAUUAGCCCUGGGAGCCUGGUUGCAUUCGGGGCAGAGCGUGUUUACAAAUGGCCUUCCCCACACACCGUGGAACCUCGGAAUCUGGCCCUUCUGUGCUGGGUUGAACCGGAACUCAUGCCUUAUUUAUGUAUGUGUCUAACAGCUUUAUUAAGGUUCUUUAUUUAUUACAUUCUGUAAUAGUCACCCAUUUGAAGUGUACAGUUCCGGCUGGGCAUGGUGACUUAUGCCUGUAAUGCCAGCACUUUGGG